RNAcentral lists this ribosomal RNA (573 nucleotides) under uncultured Achromobacter sp. Its description in RNAcentral is "bacterial SSU rRNA". It matches the Rfam family "Bacterial small subunit ribosomal RNA", at positions 790 to 1368 of the family's 1533-position model. Lineage: Bacteria; Pseudomonadati; Pseudomonadota; Betaproteobacteria; Burkholderiales; Alcaligenaceae. The record is from RNAcentral.
GUAGUCCACGCCCUAAACGAUGUCAACUAGCUGUUGGGGCCUUCGGGCCUUGGUAGCGCAGCUAACGCGUGAAGUUGACCGCCUGGGGAGUACGGUCGCAAGAUUAAAACUCAAAGGAAUUGACGGGGACCCGCACAAGCGGUGGAUGAUGUGGAUUAAUUCGAUGCAACGCGAAAAACCUUACCUACCCUUGACAUGUCUGGAAUUCCGAAGAGAUUUGGAAGUGCUCGCAAGAGAACCGGAACACAGGUGCUGCAUGGCUGUCGUCAGCUCGUGUCGUGAGAUGUUGGGUUAAGUCCCGCAACGAGCGCAACCCUUGUCAUUAGUUGCUACGAAAGGGCACUCUAAUGAGACUGCCGGUGACAAACCGGAGGAAGGUGGGGAUGACGUCAAGUCCUCAUGGCCCUUAUGGGUAGGGCUUCACACGUCAUACAAUGGUCGGGACAGAGGGUCGCCAACCCGCGAGGGGGAGCCAAUCCCAAAAACCCGAUCGUAGUCCGGAUCGCAGUCUGCAACUCGACUGCGUGAAGUCGGAAUCGCUAGUAAUCGCGGAUCAGCAUGUCGCGGUGAAUA